RNAcentral lists this ribosomal RNA (745 nucleotides) under uncultured Enterobacterales bacterium. RNAcentral's name for it is "bacterial SSU rRNA". It matches the Rfam family "Bacterial small subunit ribosomal RNA", at positions 47 to 781 of the family's 1533-position model. The record is from RNAcentral. Lineage: Bacteria; Pseudomonadati; Pseudomonadota; Gammaproteobacteria; Enterobacterales.
CUUAACACAUGCAAGUCGAGCGGUAGCACAGGGGAGCUUGCUCCCUGGGUGACGAGCGGCGGACGGGUGAGUAAUGUCUGGGAAACUGCCUGAUGGAGGGGGAUAACUACUGGAAACGGUAGCUAAUACCGCAUAACGUCGCAAGACCAAAGAGGGGGACCUUCGGGCCUCUUGCCAUCAGAUGUGCCCAGAUGGGAUUAACUAGUAGGUGGGGUAAUGGCUCACCUAGGCGACGAUCCCUAGCUGGUCUGAGAGGAUGACCAGCCACACUGGAACUGAGACACGGUCCAGACUCCUACGGGAGGCAGCAGUGGGGAAUAUUGCACAAUGGGCGCAAGCCUGAUGCAGCCAUGCCGCGUGUGUGAAGAAGGCCUUCGGGUUGUAAAGCACUUUCAGCGAGGAGGAAGGUGGUGAACUUAAUACGUUCAUCAAUUGACGUUACUCGCAGAAGAAGCACCGGCUAACUCCGUGCCAGCAGCCGCGGUAAUACGGAGGGUGCAAGCGUUAAUCGGAAUUACUGGGCGUAAAGCGCACGCAGGCGGUUUGUUAAGUCAGGUGUGAAAUCCCCGGGCUCAACCUGGGAACUGCAUUUGAAACUGGCAAGCUAGAGUCUCGUAGAGGGGGGUAGAAUUCCAGGUGUAGCGGUGAAAUGCGUAGAGAUCUGGAGGAAUACCGGUGGCGAAGGCGGCCCCCUGGACGAGGACUGACGCUCAGGUGCGAAAGCGUGGGGAGCAAACAGGAUUAG